UGCCCCUCUACCCGGAUCUCCAGCAGUCAAUGGAGAUCAUAUCCACCUCCAAUCCCACCUCUCUCUCUUCUUGAAUUCCACCUCUCCCACUCUGCGUCUUCUUCAUCCUCAUUGAUGCGGUGACCGUAGCCACCCUCACCUACACCAACCUCCUGAUAUCCGCCCGUGCCUUCGCUGAUCCUGGUGUUCACCGUGGUGACAUCGUC
RNAcentral lists this long non-coding RNA (206 nucleotides) under Elaeis guineensis (African oil palm). Its description in RNAcentral is "long non-coding RNA (EGUI_LNC044216)". The record is from RNAcentral. Lineage: Eukaryota; Viridiplantae; Streptophyta; Magnoliopsida; Arecales; Arecaceae.